Long non-coding RNA from Schistocerca nitens (vagrant locust), 675 nucleotides. RefSeq lists it as uncharacterized. The transcript is spliced from 3 exons. The record is from RefSeq and is a predicted model, not a curated record. Lineage: Eukaryota; Metazoa; Arthropoda; Insecta; Orthoptera; Acrididae.
CCGCCACGAGCAGUCGUACAGAAACAACUGCCUCUGCAGCCGCUGCGCUGCGUUGCUCUUCCCUCUCUGUCUCUCGCGUGCGCGACGUUGUGUUUCGUCAACAGUGCUUCACGUCCUCGCCUAAUCGUGAACAGUGCUACCGACUCUUCGCAGUGCAACGGUCCAAAAGAUAGUCGCAGUGUUGGAUUACAGUGCCCCUAGUCGACGCCAAGAAGCUUACCGAGUGCCUGGUAAGGCCGCCGGCUACAUUUUCCGGCGCUGCGCUGGAGGCGUGUUUGGUGUAAGAGGGACGACUGCAGAGCUUCGAGUGAAUAGUUCGUCGCCGACUGGUACUUGCAGAGGACUAUCACAGGUGGCAGACCGGCGUAGGCCUGGACGGCGCGGCAGGUUGGCAGCGCUAGUGCGCGUGCGCGCAGAGGGGGCGUGUCGCGAGUUGUGCUGUGGCGGCUCGUCUGCCCCGCGGCUUCAGCAGCGGCCGGCGGUCGCCCGCGGCGCUUCUGGACGCUCCACGGAAGGACUCCCGCGCUCGCCAAAAAGGCGCAUGGCAUGAGCGCGGCGCGGUAACCAUGGCGGGCGCAGGACGGCGCCUGAGCGAGAUCGCGCGCUAGCGAUGGAGCUGUUCCGCGGGGCGGCGGGCCCGGACGGCGCGCUGCCCUCGGCGUCGGCGGCGGCGGC